UGAGUAACACGUGGGAACGUGCCUUUAGGUUCGGAAUAGCUCCUGGAAACGGGUGGUAAUGCCGAAUGUGCCCUUCGGGGGAAAGAUUUAUCGCCUUUAGAGCGGCCCGCGUCUGAUUAGCUUGUUGGUGAGGUAAUGGCUCACCAAGGCUACGAUCAGUAGCUGGUCUGAGAGGAUGACCAGCCACAUUGGGACUGAGACACGGCCCAAACUCCUACGGGAGGCAGCAGUGGGGAAUCUUGCGCAAUGGGCGAAAGCCUGACGCAGCCAUGCCGCGUGUAUGAUGAAGGUCUUAGGAUUGUAAAAUACUUUCACCGGUGAAGAUAAUGACUGUAGCCGGAGAAGAAGCCCCGGCUAACUUCGUGCCAGCAGCCGCGGUAAUACGAAGGGGGCUAGCGUUGCUCGGAAUUACUGGGCGUAAAGGGAGCGUAGGCGGACAUUUAAGUCAGAGGUGAAAUCCCGGAGCUUAACUUCGGAACUGCCUUUGAUACUGGAUGUCUUGAGUGUGAGAGAGGUAUGUGGAACUCCGAGUGUAGAGGUGAAAUUCGUAGAUAUUCGGAAGAACACCAGUGGCGAAGGCGACAUACUGGCUCAUUACUGACGCUGAGGCUCAAAAGCGUGGGGAGCAAACAGGAUUAGAUACCCUGGUAGUCCACGCCGUAAACGAUGAUUGCUAGUUGUCGGGGAGUUUACUUCUCGGUGACGCAGCUAACGCAUUAAGCAAUCCGCCUGGGGAGUACGGUCGCAAGAUUAAAACUCAAAGGAAUUGACGG
RNAcentral lists this ribosomal RNA (773 nucleotides) under uncultured bacterium. RNAcentral's name for it is "bacterial SSU rRNA". It matches the Rfam family "Bacterial small subunit ribosomal RNA", at positions 107 to 916 of the family's 1533-position model. The record is from RNAcentral.